GCUUGCUUUGGCAGUGCAUAUACUAAAAUUGAAACAAUACAAAGAUUAUUGGCAUGGCCCCUAUGCAAGAGUGACAUGCAAAUUCUUGAAAUGUUUCAUAUUUUU
Trichosurus vulpecula (common brushtail) is the source of this 105-nucleotide small nuclear RNA. NCBI's taxonomy places the organism in Eukaryota, Metazoa, Chordata, Mammalia, Diprotodontia, Phalangeridae. The record is from RefSeq and is a predicted model, not a curated record.